CCUACGGGAGGCAGCAGUAAGGAAUAUUGGACAAUGCUCGCAAGAGUGAUCCAGCCAUGCCGCGUGCAGGAAGAAUGCCCUAUGGGUAGUAAACUGCUUUUGAACUAGAGAAAACCCCAGUACGUGUACUGGGCUGAUAGUAUAGUUAGAAUAAGCAUCGGCUAACUUCGUGCCAGCAGCCGCGGUAAGACGAAGGAUGCAAGCGUUAUCCGGAUUCAUUGGGUUUAAAGGGAGCGUAGGUGGACUGAUAAGUCAGUGGUGAAAUCUCCGAGCUUAACUCGGAAAUUGCCAUUGAUACUGUUGGUCUUGAGUACAGUUGCUGUGGGCGGAAUAUGACAUGUAGUGGUGAAAUACAUAGAGAUGUCAUAGAACACCGAUUGCGAAGGCAGCUCACAAAGCUGUAACUGACACUGAGGCUCGAAAGUGCGGGGAUCAAACAGGAUUAGAUACCCUGGUAGUCCGCACCGUAAACGAUGAUUACUCGCUGCUAGGGGGCAACCUUUAGUGGCUUAGCGAAAGCGAUAAGUAAUCCACCUGGGGAGUACGCCGGCAACGGUGAAACUUAAAGAGUAGUAGACGUGAGAGNGCGACGGAGACACAGGGAGGUAGG
Molecule: ribosomal RNA, 610 nt
Filed under: uncultured bacterium
Lineage: Bacteria
Description: partial 16S ribosomal RNA
Rfam family: Bacterial small subunit ribosomal RNA
Source: RNAcentral